GACAAACGCUGGCGGCGUGCUUAACACAUGCAAGUCGAACGGUAAGGCCCUUCGGGGUACACGAGUGGCGAACGGGUGAGUAACACGUGGGUGAUCUGCCCUGCACUUCGGGAUAAGCCUGGGAAACUGGGUCUAAUACCGGAUAGGACCACUGCCUGCAUGGGUGGUGGUGGAAAGCUUCUGCGGUGUGGGAUGGGCCCGCGGCCUAUCAGCUUGUUGGUGGGGUGAUGGCCUACCAAGGCGACGACGGGUAGCCGGCCUGAGAGGGUGACCGGCCACACUGGGACUGAGAUACGGCCCAGACUCCUACGGGAGGCAGCAGUGGGGAAUAUUGCACAAUGGGCGCAAGCCUGAUGCAGCGACGCCGCGUGAGGGAUGACGGCCUUCGGGUUGUAAACCUCUUUCAGCACCGACGAAGCGCAAGUGACGGUAGGUGCAGAAGAAGGACCGGCCAACUACGUGCCAGCAGCCGCAGUAA
RNAcentral lists this ribosomal RNA (478 nucleotides) under uncultured bacterium. RNAcentral's name for it is "partial 16S ribosomal RNA". It matches the Rfam family "Bacterial small subunit ribosomal RNA", at positions 28 to 523 of the family's 1533-position model. The record is from RNAcentral.